GCUUCCAUAGCUCAGUCGGUAGAGCGCAUCCAUGGUAAGGAUGAGGUCACCAGUUCGAUUCUGGUUGGAAGCUCCA
This 76-nucleotide transfer RNA is filed under the name Bacilli bacterium. RNAcentral describes it as "tRNA-Thr". It matches the Rfam family "tRNA". From Rfam's summary of the family: Transfer RNA (tRNA) molecules are approximately 80 nucleotides in length. The record is from RNAcentral. RNAcentral also lists the same sequence under 4 other names. Lineage: Bacteria; Bacillati; Bacillota; Bacilli.